This is a long non-coding RNA of Oenanthe melanoleuca, 4256 nucleotides long. RefSeq lists it as uncharacterized. The transcript has 2 exons. The record is from RefSeq and is a predicted model, not a curated record. NCBI's taxonomy places the organism in Eukaryota, Metazoa, Chordata, Aves, Passeriformes, Muscicapidae.
GGCCUGUGCUGUAGGGAGUGAAAAGUGGCGACUCUUGAAGCGGGCCUGCUGCCCCAGGGGUGCCCCGGCCACCUCCCUGUGUAUCUCAGAGAACUCAGCUUCACCUCCUUCCCUGAUGUGACUUCUCCCAGAGCAGACUCGCACUGCUAAGACGUGAGGAGCAAUGGAUCACGACCGGGGUACCGAGUGAGGCAGGUUAGAUGACAUUCCUGCCUGGAACAGAUACAACUGCAGUGUGGAGAGCUAUCCUCAUAUGGCUGCAAGCACGCAAUGCUGAUGGGCGAGUUAAGUGUCCUCAGCCACCCCUUCUCUCUCUGCAGUAAAUUCACCUCGUGGGCGCAGGGUCCCGGAAUACGAAGCUGCCACUGCACUUGUGCUGCUCACAGCUCUGCUGCUGUCACCGUGCUGGUACAGGUGUGAGUGCUAGAGCACACACCUUAAACACCUCUUUAAAGAGAAAACUCUUGGUGAGUCAGGCACAGUUCUGUUGCACCCCAUGCAGGAUCACUGCAGGGUAGUUUAUGACAGAAAGCAAAGAUCUCUGUGGUCUGUAGAAAUGACGCUGACAGUCUGCUAGAUAUAAGACAAGUUUCACCAGACAAAUUGAGUUAUGUGGUGACAAAUGUCAUCAGCUGCAACACUAAAAUGUUACCUCAGUUUGCUCUUCCUUGCUCUUAUAAGCAUAAAUUAUUACAUUUAGCAAGAUGUCAUACCUGCUUUUUAAAAAAAUGCUUUCUGUGUGGUGACAUCAGACUUUGUACUAGAGGUGUUUGCAUUGCUGAAAAUUUGGAAAAGGAAAUGAAAAUGCUAACAAAAUGUUUUCUGAAAUGUUUAAAAUGUAGUUUUUCUUUAAAAUUCAGUGUCCCAUUGAAUAGUUAUGUAACAAUGCUUAAAUGCAGUCUUUUCUUAGUCUUUCAUUUGGCAUAAUGAAAAUAAUGUAAAGUCACAUCAAAAUACAAAAACAACUACCAUGAAACAAAAUCCUUAUGAAUCCUGUCAUUCUUAAGAAAUCAUGUUUGGCAGAAACUUACAUCUUUUAAGUUUUGUUAUAAAGUAAAAAAAAAAAAAAAAAAAAAAAUAAAAAUUAAAAAGCAAAGUAAACAUAUAUCUCCUCAUGCCUGAAAGUCCACUUCCACUUCUCAGUGUCUUUUUAGAGCGUUAGGCCAAGUUCCAAGAGGGAUUCACUCUCUACUAGAGCUCCAAUCCCCUCAAGAGCAUUAGGCUUAGUGCCAGCAUUCAUUUACUCUUGGAACAGCUUAAAUUAACUCCUGUUACAUUCUGUCUAAACCCUUUCUUACAGAGUAAGAGUUGAGAGCUGGAUUCAGUCAGUUAGGCUGAAGGCCACCCAUCAUGCUUGUCUGUCUUCCUCGACCUGAAAUGCUGCAUAAACUGGAUUGGGGAAGGCAGUGAUCAGCUGUGUGUAAGUUGAAGGGGGAAGCUGGCAAGCCAUCUUUUGUAUACAUGUCCCCAUUUCACAAGAAACAGCGUGGGGGUUGGUCUGACUUAUUUAACAUAAGUACAUAUGACAGUAAGCUCCAACCAAAUGUGAGAUUUUAGUAGGCUGUGCAGUGUUCUAACAGUAUUUUGAUACUUUCCUGGCAGAGCUGAACAGACAAGCUAAUCAAAAGACAACAAACAUCACUGCUUGAUUUUGUAAGAACUGGAUUGUAAGAUUAUAUUUUGCCAAAUGUCAGACAGAAGAUUGAAAUGGAAGGUCUCACAAAGAAAGCCAGACCUUCUUUAGCCCCUUCAAACUUAUAUGGUCUCUUAAAAAUAUCACUUUUAUUUUACUUUAGCAAACAUGAGAACAAUUGGUUUGCCUAUUAUUACACGGCAAACGCUCUGAAGCAGCUGAGGACGUAAGCACAGGGAAGACAAGUUUUCCAAAAAGCAGUAACACAAAAUGUUCUUAGCAAACUUAAAAAAGUACAGGGUAAUUGGACAGAACUGGGCAGUCAUUAAAGUUGACCAGCUGAUACUUUGGUCUCUAUCCAGAGGCUCAAAAGUCCUGUACCAAGGUCUUCAUGGUGAAGGCUAGAAGUUGACUUCAGGGAUUUCCAAAGCUGCUUUGUAUGACUGUUAUUUAUAGAAUAGUUACAACCUUUCAAGGUCAUCUAGUCCACCUCCUUCCAAUGAGCAGAAUCAUCUUCAGCUAGGUCAGGUGGCUCAGAGCCCUGUUCAACCUUAACCAUUUUCAUAAUUUCUACCCAUCCCUCCUCCACAAGAAAAAAAACCAAAACAAACAAACAACAAAUAGACGAGAGAUUAGUUUCAAGGAAUCUGAAUUACCUUCCUUGGAUGAAGAAUCUUUUAAGCUGUUAGUUUACAAAAAGUUCAGUUGUUUUGUAUGCUAUGAAGAUGAUGGAAAUGGAAGUAGUUACCAGACAGUCAGCAUUCAUCUACUAGUAAAACUGAAAAUAAAUGUGAGCAUUUUGUGGCUAGAUAACACUAUUCAGUUCAUAAAUAAGAGUUCACAACAAUCUUUGUAAUUAGGAGCUACACUAUAAAUAUAGCUUAUCUUCAAAUAUUUUCAACUUGCUAAAGUUACUUGAAAGCUUAUCAUGAUAGAGUGCAUUUAAAAGGAAAAGAAUUAAAAUUUAUCUAAGAUAUGUGUCCCCAAAUACCUCUCAUAGCAUUCAUUUAUAUAGACCUUUCUAACACGCUGCCUUCCCACACUCUUUGUAUGUAGUUAGCUGAAAAACAUUACUGGCAUGUAAGUUCCCUCAAACUUCAGAAUAACUUUUUUUAAGUUAACUUGAAAAUCAGAGAAAAAAGUUGAAAGCAAAAUUCUUACUUUAAAAAAAAUUAAUUUGAAAAGAUAGCAGUAAUGGAAUUGGAAAGAUUUUAAAAUAUGGUUUCUAAGUUGGCAGUGACCUUUUUGGGAUAAAUAUUUCAUUUAUUAAAGAAAUGGUACACAGACUGCUUAAACGCUAAUGUGAAUACAAAAAGCAGAUCAAAAGUGGUUCUCUUGUGAAGGAAUAUUUAUUUUUAAAAUUUGAAUAGUAUAUUUGCUGUUACUUUCUAAGUAAGGCUGUAGAUCUCAAUUCUGUGACAAGUUGCAUAUAUUCUGCCUAAUUUUAAGCAUUUUGAAAAAUUCUGUGGUCUGAACCAAGACUACUUUGACUGCAUAAAAUUAACUGUAUACAUAAAUCUUUGAAGACUGGGGACUUUCUUGCAAUUAGAUGAGAACUGUAGUUCAACUGCUGUUAUAUCUUUUAAUGAUAAGAUCCCACAGCACUUUUGCAACAAUAAUAGAGGUCCCCUGAAAGCAUUUUAAGUAAUGGAAUUACAGCACUUGUUUUAGUGGUUAUAUUUUCCUCAGGUUUCCAACUGAAUAAGUUAUCCUUCAUUUUUUCUUCCCUUUCAAACAUUCUCCUGUAGUGCUGCUAGCACUGAUUAAAAAGAGAGACCUAUAUCUGAAAUCCUAUCAUUUUGAUAUUUAACCUGUAUUUUUAUAUACAUACAAAUAUAUGCACAUUUAUAUAUCUAUUUUGCCUAUAAAAUAUUAUUCAUAGGAUUUCCUGAAAUCUUAUUCCCAGUGCUUCCUAUAUAAAUAUGUAAUUGUGUUGCUGGGAUCAUGCUGUAUUUCAGGGAGUGUUUCUUCUCUUUUCCUUCAUUCUCUGAAAUCAGUGUGAGCAUUGCAAUCAAUUUUAAUUAUACUAGUAUUUCACUCUGAGUUUUAUAGGAAGAGUUGGCAGCAAUAACUAUAGUUAAGAUUGCCUAAGACUUUCUGCAGUAUAGAUUCUGUACUUAAAAAGAGAGAGGGAUAGAAAUUGUACAUAAGGGUACAAUAAAACAUGUCAAGAUUAGCAAAGUUAAUUUUAUCUGUGUUACUUGAAAAACCAGAAGGCUUUAUUAGGGACUCUGACUUUAAAUUUUUAAGUGCAAUGUGACUGAGACUGAUAUAAUUUAAAAUUAUUAUUAUUAUGUAGUUCAAAAAAUACUAUAAAGAUGGCAAGGCAUUACUUCACAGUAUUACCAAAGAAACAAUUAUAGAAUUAUCAGUAUUGUAACCUGUAAAAUAUUUUUAAAAUAUAUGUUUUCUGGAAAUGUUGAAGUAGAAGCAGCAUCAUAUAUUUAUUUCUUGUUUCUUUUCCCAGACUGCUCUAAAGCAACUAUUAAUAACAUGUUGUACUGCUACUGUGAUUUAUUAAUGAAAGUUACUUUAGUUAUCACAUCCUUAAUACUACUGAACAUGGUGGAGUGUAUAUAAUUAUUUCUGUAAAAAAUAAAGGAAUAAUAAAACUCUAAAUUAC